UGAAUAAUACAAAAUCAGAAUAACAAAAUAAUAAAUGAGCCCAUUUCACAAAUUUGGGCCUAAAUCACACUCAAAAUCUCAAUCAAGCCCAAAUCCAAGCAAUAACUAAUAAAUCCAACCCAAUUGAAAUCAAGCCCAAACCCAAGUGAUACAAAUAAACAAGCCCGAUUGAAAUUAAGCCCCAAACCCAAUUGAUACUAUUAAACCAACCCUCUUAACUAAUAACCCAUUCAA
This 234-nucleotide long non-coding RNA is filed under the name Olea europaea (common olive). RNAcentral's name for it is "long non-coding RNA (OEUR_LNC007669)". Lineage: Eukaryota; Viridiplantae; Streptophyta; Magnoliopsida; Lamiales; Oleaceae. The record is from RNAcentral.